Molecule: ribosomal RNA, 228 nt
Filed under: uncultured bacterium
Lineage: Bacteria
Description: partial 16S ribosomal RNA
Rfam family: Bacterial small subunit ribosomal RNA
Source: RNAcentral
UACGUAGGCGGAAAAUUAAGUCAGUGGUGAAAUCCUGCAGCUUAACUGUAGAACUGUCAUUGAUACUGGUUUUCUUGAAUAUAGUUGAGGUAGGCGGAAUGUGUAAUGUAGCGGUGAAAUGCUUAGAUAUUACACAGAACACCGAUUGCGAAGGCAGCUUACUAAGCUAUGAUUGACGCUGAGGUACGAAAGUGUGGGGAGCGAACAGGAUUAGAACCCUGGUAGUCC